AGAUUGAACGCUGGCGGCAUGCCUUACACAUGCAAGUCGAACGGCAGCACGGGUGCUUGCACCUGGUGGCGAGUGGCGAACGGGUGAGUAAUAUAUCGGAACGUACCCUAGAGUGGGGGAUAACGGCAGCGAAAGUUGCGCUAAUACCGCAUACGAUCUACGGAUGAAAGUGGGGGAUCGCAAGACCUCAUGCUCAUGGAGCGGCCGAUAUCUGAUUAGCUAGUUGGUGGGGUAAAAGCCUACCAAGGCAUCGAUCAGUAGCUGGUCUGAGAGGACGACCAGCCACACUGGAACUGAGACACGGUCCAGACUCCUACGGGAGCAGCAGUGGGGAAUUUGGACAA
RNAcentral lists this ribosomal RNA (344 nucleotides) under uncultured soil bacterium. RNAcentral describes it as "bacterial SSU rRNA". It matches the Rfam family "Bacterial small subunit ribosomal RNA", at positions 26 to 371 of the family's 1533-position model. The record is from RNAcentral.